Molecule: ribosomal RNA, 463 nt
Filed under: Gemella haemolysans
Lineage: Bacteria; Bacillati; Bacillota; Bacilli; Caryophanales; Gemellaceae
Description: bacterial SSU rRNA
Rfam family: Bacterial small subunit ribosomal RNA
Source: RNAcentral
GACGAACGCGGCGGCGUGCCUAAUACAUGCAAGUCGAGCGAAGUUUUUCUGGUGCUUGCACCGGAAAAACUUAGCGGCGAACGGGUGAGUAACACGUAAAGAACCUGCCUCAUAGACUGGGACAACUAUUGGAAACGAUAGCUAAUACCGGAUAACAGCAUUAACUGCAUGGUUGAUGUUUAAAAGUUGGUUUUGCUAACACUAUGAGAUGGCUUUGCGGUGCAUUAGCUAGUUGGUGGGGUAAAGGCCUACCAAGGCGACGAUGCAUAACCGACCUGAGAGGGUGAUCGGCCACACUGGGACUGAGACACGGCCCAGACUCCUACGGGAGGCAGCAGUAGGGAAUCUUCCGCAAUGGGCGAAAGCCUGACGGAGCAACGCCGCGUGAGUGAAGAAGGAUUUCGGUUCGUAAAGCUCUGUUGUUAGGGAAGAAUGAUGUGUAGUAACUAUACACAGUAGAGAC